RNAcentral lists this long non-coding RNA (317 nucleotides) under Vigna radiata. RNAcentral's name for it is "long non-coding RNA (VRAD_LNC008655)". Lineage: Eukaryota; Viridiplantae; Streptophyta; Magnoliopsida; Fabales; Fabaceae. The record is from RNAcentral.
AAAAUCAGUUUAGAAGGUCAAGUUUUCCCAUAAUACANUAUAAAGCAUUACAGGCCCAGUUUAGCAUUUAGCCAUGUAAUUGACUAGUCCAUUAAUUUAGAAAAUGAAGUCAGUUUGUGCAACCCCCAGGUUUACUAAUCCUAUUACAAAAAAUGAAAUUUAAAAAGGAUAAGCAUAGAUGCAAAAUGAAACCUCUAUUCUGCUGUUCUGCUGUUUUUGAUUGAUGCUGGAACCAUGUUUUUGGAAGUGAAUCUAGCAACUUCCCUCUCUAUCCCUCUUACUCUUGUAGAAUUUAUCACACUUCUCUUUGUUUUANN